CCUACGGGUGGCAGCAGUGAGGAAUAUUGGUCAAUGGGCGUAAGCCUGAACCAGCCAAGUCGCGUGAGGGAUGAAGGUUCUAUGGAUCGUAAACCUCUUUUAUAAGGGAAUAAAGUGCGGGACGUGUCCCGUAUUGUAUGUACAUUAUGAAUAAGGAACGGCUAACUCCGUGCCAGCAGCCGCGGUAAUACGGAGGAUCCGAGCGUUAUCCGGAUUUAUUGGGUGUAAAGGGUGCGUAGGCGGCCUUUUAAGUCAGCGGUGAAAGUCUGUGGCUCAACCAUAGAAUUGCCGUUGAAACUGGGGGGCUUGAGUAUGUUUGAGGCAGGUGGAAUGCGUGGUGUAGCGGUGAAAUGCUUAGAUAUCACGCAGAACCCCGAUUGCGAAGGCAGCCUGCCAAGCCAUGACUGACGCUGAUGCACGAAAGCGUGGGGAUCAAACAGGAUUAGAUACCCCUGUAGUC
This 460-nucleotide ribosomal RNA is filed under the name uncultured bacterium. RNAcentral's name for it is "partial 16S ribosomal RNA". It matches the Rfam family "Bacterial small subunit ribosomal RNA", at positions 338 to 795 of the family's 1533-position model. The record is from RNAcentral.